This 891-nucleotide ribosomal RNA is filed under the name Triticum aestivum (bread wheat). RNAcentral describes it as "partial small subunit ribosomal RNA". The record is from RNAcentral. Lineage: Eukaryota; Viridiplantae; Streptophyta; Magnoliopsida; Poales; Poaceae.
AUGACAGGGGUGAAAGAAGUGUUCCCAGAGGCGGAACAUAGGGAAUGCAUGUUUCACUUGGUGACCAACUUCAAGAAGAAGUUCCAUGGGAAGGUGUUUGAUGACCACCUUUGGGCUGCUGCUUACUCACGGAACCCAUAUUUAUUUGACAAACAUUGGGUUGCUAUGGAGACAACAAAGCCAGCUGCAACUGCAUGUAUAAGGAAGUGGCACAAUAGGUUGUGGUCUAGGAGUCAAUUCUCAACUAUAUGCAAGGUAGACUACGUAACCAACAACCUGGCCGAGAGCUUUAACAAUUGGAUUAAGCACCACAAGUCCUUGAACUUGGAUGACCUCUUUGAUAAGGCGAGACAAUUGAUUAUGAUAUUGUGGAACCGAAGGAGAAAAGUAGCAAAGGAGUUAGAUGGUUUGAUUCUGCCCCACAUAAUUAAGAAGCUGAAUGCAAUGACCAGGGAAUUAAACUUGGAGGUGGUAGAAAGCUCAGAAGAAGUGGCUAAAGUAACUGCAUUAGGUGGUAGUGGCUUUAGGUUUGUGGUCAACUUGCAAGAGGGGACAUGUUCUUGUCGACAAUGGCAAGUUUCUGGCCAUCCUUGCAAACAUGCUCUUGCAUUCAUCACGUCACUUAGCAAUGCACACAUACGACACUAUGUGGACUUGUAUUUCUCCAUUGACAAAUAUAGAGCAGCUUAUGCCCAACUAAUUCCAGCUAUGCCGGACAAGACCCAAUGGCCUAAAUCUGACCAUGGAUUCUUCAUGCAUCCACCACUAUUGAAGGCCACGGCUGGUAGGCGUAAAACUGAGAGGUACAAAGGUUGCGGUGAGAAGAAAAGGAAAAGUGGUCAACACUUAUGCCCUAUUUGUAAGGAAUAUGGGCAUCAUUGGCACAAAUAG